AAAGAAGUAACAAGGCUGUUCUCUAUUGGCAAGGAAGUCAUGCAAAUGCAUACUUCUUCUUUGCCAAAGAAGAAUUGCACUGCCAUUUUUCC
Molecule: microRNA precursor, 92 nt
Filed under: Olea europaea subsp. europaea
Lineage: Eukaryota; Viridiplantae; Streptophyta; Magnoliopsida; Lamiales; Oleaceae
Source: RNAcentral